This 104-nucleotide ribosomal RNA is filed under the name Scirtothrips dorsalis. RNAcentral's name for it is "partial 5.8S ribosomal RNA". The record is from RNAcentral. Lineage: Eukaryota; Metazoa; Arthropoda; Insecta; Thysanoptera; Thripidae.
ACACAUGAACAUCGACAUUUCGAACGCACAUUGCGGCCCUAGGACUUGUUCCUGGGCCACACCUGACUGAGGGUCGGUUGACCAAACUCAACGACCAGACUGUC